AUGCGAUUCCUCAUCAUCUGGAUUAUGUACGGAACAUGCUUGACAGAUCCAAGUUAUGGAGAUUCUGUCACACAGACGCUGUCUACAGCAAGGAAGACAGAAGGAGAGGCCGUGACAUUCUGCUGCACCUAUGAUACUACAGCGGGCUACUACCGUUUGUACUGGUACCGGCAACGACCAGACCUGAUGCCCGAAUUCAUAGUGCGGAAAUAUUCAGAAGGUGCUGAGGUGAAAGAAGAUUUUGCUAAAGAUCGUUUCUCUUUCGGGAUCCAGACUUCAAGCAAAGUCGCCAGUUUGACGAUUUCGCGGCUUCGACAAAACGACUCUGCAGAGUAUUACUGUGCCAUUCCGCAGCACAGUGAUGGAAACGACUGA
Pristis pectinata (smalltooth sawfish) is the source of this 375-nucleotide non-coding RNA. Lineage: Eukaryota; Metazoa; Chordata; Chondrichthyes; Rhinopristiformes; Pristidae. The record is from the annotation of a RefSeq genome assembly.